CAGCAGCCGCGGUAAUACGGAGAGAGCUAGCGUUGUUCGGAAUUACUGGGCGUAAAGCGCACGUAGGCGGCUUUGUAAGUUAGAGGUGAAAGCCUGGGGCUCAACUCCAGAAUUGCCUUUAAGACUGCAUCGCUUGAAUCAUGGAGGGGCGGGUGGAAUUCCGAGUGUAGAGGUGAAAUUCGUAGAUAUUCGGAAGAACACCAGUGGCGAAGGCGGCCCGCUGGACAUGUAUUGACGCUGAGGUGCGAAAGCGUGGGGAGCAAACAGGAUUAGAUACCCGCGUAGUCCCUGUCUCUUAUAC
This 301-nucleotide ribosomal RNA is filed under the name uncultured bacterium. Its description in RNAcentral is "partial 16S ribosomal RNA". It matches the Rfam family "Bacterial small subunit ribosomal RNA", at positions 509 to 807 of the family's 1533-position model. The record is from RNAcentral.